RNAcentral lists this ribosomal RNA (400 nucleotides) under uncultured bacterium. Its description in RNAcentral is "bacterial SSU rRNA". It matches the Rfam family "Bacterial small subunit ribosomal RNA", at positions 356 to 773 of the family's 1533-position model. The record is from RNAcentral.
GGGGAAUAUUGCACAAUGGGCGAAAGCCUGAUGCAGCAACGCCGCGUGAGUGAAGAAGGUUUUCGGAUUGUAAAGCUCUGUCAUCUGGGACGAUAAUGACGGUACCUGAGGAGGAAGCCACGGCUAACUACGUGCCAGCAGUCGCGGUAAUACGUAGGUGGCAAGCGUUGUCCGGAUUUACUGGGCGUAAAGGAUGUGUAGGCGGAUAUUUAAGUGAGAUGUGAAAUCCCCGGGCUUAACUUGGGCAGUGCAUUUCAAACUGGAUGUCUGGAGUGCAGGAGAGGAGAACGGAAUUCCUAGUGUAGCGGUGAAAUGCGUAGAGAUUAGGAAGAACACCAGUGGCGAAGGCGGUUCUCUGGACUGUAACUGACGCUGAGGCACGAAAGCGUGGGUAGCAAAC